Long non-coding RNA from Helianthus annuus (common sunflower), 902 nucleotides. RefSeq lists it as uncharacterized. Lineage: Eukaryota; Viridiplantae; Streptophyta; Magnoliopsida; Asterales; Asteraceae. The record is from RefSeq and is a predicted model, not a curated record. The transcript has 2 exons.
UUCUCAUAAACUCUCCCCUGUACUUUCCAAAACCCUAACCCCUAAAUUCAUCAUCACCUCCACAUAACCUACAACAACUUCACCAUCUUUACAACCUAUAACUUCACCAGAGUUCACAGUUACUUUUGAUUGUGCAUAAACCCACCAUCGUUGCCAUAGAUACGACCACCUCCUAUACAACCAUCCAAACAACUCAAAUUCACAAGCUUUUGUAAAAAGAUCAGAUUUGCAUAGACACAAACAACAACAUGGGUCGAUUCCAAUAUCUGGAGGCGGUGCUGCCGCUAGGGAUUAUCGCCGGCAUGCUCUGCAUCGGCUGAAACGUUCAGUAUCAAAUCCACAAAGCUGCACACGGUCGCCCGAAACACAUUGGCAAUGAUGUGUGGGAUGUUGCAAUGGAACGGCAGGACAAGAAAAUGGUUGUUGACAAAUUUUAACUUGCCAGUGAUUAGGGUUUCUUCUUACAAGGUUCAAUUUUUUUAUUAUUUAUGUAAGAUAUUAGGGUUUUAUUUGAUGAUUUGUGCAGAUCCGUUGUGUUUUUAGGUGUAAUAAGACUUAUUGUGAUUUAUAGUAGCAAUAAGAUGUUCGAAACAGACAACUCCAUUGGAGAAGAUGAUUGUGGGGAAGAUGAUCGCAGUUGGCGAUUUUGGGGGAAGAUUAUUUGGGGAAGAUGAAGGGGGGGGUCCGUCGCAAAACCUCCGCAAAAUUCUGCCCCCACCGCCGCUGUGAGUGGCGGCGCCGCCUCCCGCCGUCGCUGGUGCACCACCUGGAGAUAAGAAGAGAUGAAGAGAUGAAGUCUUUGAAGAGAGAUAGAGAGAGUUCUGUUAAUUCUGUAUGUGUGGGUGUAUAUAUAUUAUAUAUAAUUUUUUUAGGUAUUAAAUAUAUACAAUUAAAUAUAAUAA